This 424-nucleotide ribosomal RNA is filed under the name Verrucomicrobiota bacterium. Its description in RNAcentral is "Verrucomicrobia bacterium partial 16S ribosomal RNA". It matches the Rfam family "Bacterial small subunit ribosomal RNA", at positions 355 to 776 of the family's 1533-position model. The record is from RNAcentral. Lineage: Bacteria; Pseudomonadati; Verrucomicrobiota.
UGAGGAAUAUUGGUCAAUGGACGAGAGUCUGAACCAGCCAAGUAGCGUGCAGGAUGACGGCCCUAUGGGUUGUAAACUGCUUUUGUUUGGGAAUAAUCGACAUUACGUGUAAUGUUUUGCAUGUACCAUUCGAAUAAGGACCGGCUAAUUCCGUGCCAGCAGCCGCGGUAAUACGGAAGGUCCAGGCGUUAUCCGGCUCUAUUGGGUUUAAAGGGAGUGUAGGCGGUUGGUUAAGCGUGUUGUGAAAUGUAGAUGCUCAACAUCUGACUUGCAGCGCGAACUGGCUGACUUGAGUACGCACAACGUAGGCGGAAUUCAUGGUGUAGCGGUGAAAUGCUUAGAUAUCAUGAAGAACUCCGAUUGCGAAGGCAGCUUACGGGAGUGUUACUGACGCUUAAGCUCGAAGGUGCGGGUAUCGAACAGG